Molecule: ribosomal RNA, 490 nt
Filed under: uncultured bacterium
Lineage: Bacteria
Description: partial 16S ribosomal RNA
Rfam family: Bacterial small subunit ribosomal RNA
Source: RNAcentral
AUUGAACGCUGGCGGCAGGCCUAACACAUGCAAGUCGAACGGUAACAGGAAGAAGCUUGCCUCUUUGCUGACGAGUGGCGGACGGGUGAGUAAUGUCUGGGAAACUGCCUGAUGGAGGGGGAUAACUACUGGAAACGGUAGCUAAUACCGCAUAACGUCGCAAGACCAAAGAGGGGGACCUUCGGGCCUCUUGCCAUCGGAUGUGCCCAGAUGGGAUUAGCUAGUAGGUGGGGUAACGGCUCACCUAGGCGACGAUCCCUAGCUGGUCUGAGAGGAUGACCAGCCACACUGGAACUGAGACACGGUCCAGACUCCUAUGGGAGGCAGCAGUGGGGAAUAUUGCACAAUGGGCGCAAGCCUGAUGCAGCCAUGCCGCGUGUAUGAAGAAGGCCUUCGGGUUGUAAAGUACUUUCAGCGGGGAGGAAGGGAGUAAAGUUAAUACCUUUGCUCAUUGACGUUACCCGCAGAAGAAGCACCGGCUAACUCCGUG